UGAAACCCCAGUGGGCAUGUGUUACAGUA
Molecule: non-coding RNA, 29 nt
Filed under: Homo sapiens (human)
Lineage: Eukaryota; Metazoa; Chordata; Mammalia; Primates; Hominidae
Source: RNAcentral